AUCAAUUUAAUAAUAUGCAAAUAUUACACAAGUUAACAAUUCCAUUUGAGCAACAUUAUAUCAGAAAUACAUUUAUACUAAUGUCAAUUAUAUAACUCAUUAUAUGUAUUGUAUUGCCAAAUUAUACGAUAUCUAUACAUCAGUGAAGCGCUUUGCCUAGCCCGCGGGCGGCCGACUUUAUUGCUCUCUCACAGAUUCGCUCACACGUAUUAGUCAAGCGCUCUCUGUACAUUGUGGAAAAUUAAUGUGCAUUUGAAAAUCACUUGAUCAACGACUGUUGCUUGCUACGCGUGUAAUUUGUAUGUGCGCGCUGAUUAACAAUUUUGGUUCAAAACCAUGAAAAUAUUGGUGUUUAGUUUUUUGAUACAGCCGUUUAGGUGAAAACUUCAACAUAAAUUCAAUAUUUAAAAUUUUUUGAAUUUUAAUUUCUUUUUGACACGUGAAUUGUCUUUAUUUUUGUAAUUGAUAAAAAAUUAAUAAGGAAUUUCAUUAAUUUCACAAUUUUGUAAAAGUUGUCGAAUCAAUUUCAAAUUUUUUUUAUAUUAAUUAAUACUAAAGUUUUGUAUUUUUUUGGGUGUAGCAGCAAACUCUCUCAUACUCCAACACAAGCACACAGUUUGGUAGUGUGCGUUUGGGCAUCACUGCUAUACAUAGAAGUAUUAUUGGGUAUUCGAAAAUUGGCAACAUUUUGUCAAAAGAUGUUGCAGUCGUACAUAUAUUUCCAGUACAACCAAUUUCAUUGUGUCAUACCAUAUAGUGUUUGAAGGCUUCAUAUAACCAAGUUAAAUUCGGGGAAAAUAAUUACAGCUGUUCAAAAAUGAGUGAAAAUAAUGAAGAAAUUCGCUUUAUUUUGAUAUUUUUGUAUAAAAAAGGGAGAAUACAAUGCCACCAAUGAAAUUUUUGAAGUUUACGGAGAUGAUCACAUUGUAUUAACAAUGAAACAUAAUAAUAAAAGAACAUUCACUUCUAAGUGAACUAAAUUAAAAAAUUUUUGUUCUAAUAGGAUAUAGAAUGUUUAACUCGCGCGAGUUCCUCCUGGGGGACCGUUGGUGGUGCUCGCUACCUUCUCAGCUGCUGCACUCGACUUCGACUACAGUGCGUCGCUUCAUGAGACCAUGUCAUUAUCAACCUCUUUGGCAUGCUCCCCAAACAGCGACUGCUCCUCUGACGAGAGGAUAUAAGGAACCUGCAACUACACUGGUUUUAUCGACCUUCUCCUCGACUAUGGUCGUUCUUUACGACCCUUGGCAUAACACGGCGAGCUGUCGGGUCUAUGUUUUUGUAGGGGAACGUGAAGGUCCGCUGCGCCAAAGCCCCAUAACGCGGUAAUGCCACCAUUACUUGCCAAUUCGGCCGGUGUUGGGAAGCUUCUGUUCAGUCGAAUUAACCUCCUGGCUGCAAAUCAUUCAAUGGGCAUGGGAGUUGCAUAACACCCUGGAUUUGGAGGUGGUACUCUUCGUCUCAACCCUCAUGAGUGAUGCCAUGUUGCACCGCUCAUGGCGGAUAUACAUUGCAGUUAAGCUCCUGCACCACAACAAGGUACUUAUAAUUCAGAGAGAAGUAAACAUAGUAUAGUCAACCACGACAUCUACCCAAUGUCCCCGCAUAAGAUAAAAAACAAGUCUUACACCGCGACAUAAGGUUUUUGUACUCUAAGUUUGUAUAUGCUUAGUGCUGCCCGCACUAAGUUUGUAAAUGAAUUUAUUAUUUCUUCAAGACACAAUCAUCUAAUACGAAAAAAAACAAUAAUAUUUCAUUAACAUUCUAGUGCUAACCAGAUAUGGUAUGAAUGAUUAAGAACUGCGAACUAGGGUUAUUUUAAUUCCAUCAGCGCAAUACCUUCCAUGUUGAUAUUUUAGUUCUUGUAGAAAUUGUUUUAUAUACAGUAAAUACAUGUUAAAAAAUAUGUUGGAAUUGUAAUGCAGGUAUAUAUUCUUCCUUACUGGCGUGGAAACCGUUUACGCGGUUAUAAACGAGUUUACAGCAGCGCGUCGCUUCUUCCUUUCGCAAGGUGCCGCAAAUUGGAGAUUCCAAGCGAAGCCACGUUCUUCUCCAUGUGGUCCUUCCAACGAAGUGGAGGUCUACUUCUUCCUCUACUUUUCCCGGCGGGGAACAGUUUCUCCAGUCACUUCAAACCAGAACAAUAAAUGUAUCAGAUUUUUCAAGUGUUUGCUUUUAGUUCAUCAACGCGGAGGCUUUUAAGACAUUAAUAGGUAUGAAUGGCAUAAAUAGUCAAGGCAUUGCGAUGAGUCCGUUGACGGAAUAAAUGUAAAAAGUGAACGAUUUGCCAAUGUCUGAAGGUGAUAAGAAAAAACUUGACGAAUAUAUUGAAGAAAUUUACAAUAAAGUGGGAGAAUUCGCGGGCGAAUUUAACAACAUUGAGUGUGCUGGACUUUGCUACUAAAUAUAAAGUAGCAUUAACGACAGUUGUGUACCAAAUGCUCAUUCGACAUUGCCUUAUUCAAACGUCAUAAUCAUGUUGAAAGCGGUAGCACCUAUACAAUAAAUAUGAUGAAAAAAUUUGCAUAUCUUAAUUGGAUGAAUGUCAGCUGGAGUGUAUCUAAUAGUAUAGCAUUAAUAUUUGCAAAUUUCGGAGAAGAAAUCUCAAGUCAGAUCCAAUCACUGUUAUUAUUAUAUUUAAAUAACUCAAUACUAAUUGUUUUAAAUCAUCUAAUUUAAAAUGUUAUUAUUAGUUUGGCUAAUAUACAUACAUACAUAUGUACAAAUUGUGUGAAUAUUAAGAAAUAGUAAAUUAAUGUAUUUAGUAUUGUAAAUUGUACGUAGUAUAACAAUGUAAACCAAGAAUGAUAGAAUAUAAGAUUA
Long non-coding RNA from Bactrocera dorsalis (oriental fruit fly), 2823 nucleotides. RefSeq lists it as uncharacterized. Lineage: Eukaryota; Metazoa; Arthropoda; Insecta; Diptera; Tephritidae. The record is from RefSeq and is a predicted model, not a curated record. The transcript has 3 exons.